Long non-coding RNA from Helianthus annuus (common sunflower), 596 nucleotides. RefSeq lists it as uncharacterized. The transcript is spliced from 3 exons. NCBI's taxonomy places the organism in Eukaryota, Viridiplantae, Streptophyta, Magnoliopsida, Asterales, Asteraceae. The record is from RefSeq and is a predicted model, not a curated record.
CAAGGGUCUGACGACUAUGAGGGAUCUUAUUGCGGACGCUCUACGGUUCUACUCUAAGGUAUGCAAGUGACCGGUUUUAUCGUCACUUGAUCCGUCUAGUUUCGGUCUCCAUUACUCGCAAAUUAGCUUAGAAAGUUUAGAUCCGGAUGAAAAGUUGAUCCAGUUAGGUUCAAGGAAUUUUUUCCUUUGUCCUAAGCGAACUGCGAACGCGACAUCCUCAUCUACUUGCUCGGAGGAAGCAGAAAAUUUGACGAAAUUUAAUGCGCAUUGGCUUCGAUUCAUGAACUUUUCCUUUGUCCUAAGCGAACUGUGAACGCGACAUCAUCAUCUACUUGCUCGGGGGAAGCAGAAAAUUUGACGAAAUUAGCUUAGAAAGAUUAGAUCCGGAUGAAAAGUUGAUCCAGUUAGGUUCAAGGAAUUUUUUCCUUUGUCCUAAGCAAACUGCGAACGCGACAUCAUCAUCUACUUGCUCGGAGGAAGCAGAAAAUUUGACGAAAUUUAAUGCGCAUUGGCUUCGAUUCAUGAACUUUUCGCAGUAAGAAUAUUUGAUAUUAUAUUAUAUGUUAGGCGAAUUAAUAUGCCCAUGCCAAUUUCAA